GACGAACGCUGGCGGCGUGCUUAACACAUGCAAGUCGAGCGGUAAGGCCUUUCGGGGUACACGAGCGGCGAACGGGUGAGUAACACGUGGGUGAUCUGCCCUGCACUUCGGGAUAAGCCUGGGAAACUGGGUCUAAUACCGGAUAUGACCUCCUAUCGCAUGGUGGGUGGUGGAAAGAUUUAUCGGUGCAGGAUGGGCCCGCGGCCUAUCAGCUUGUUGGUGGGGUAAUGGCCUACCAAGGCGACGACGGGUAGCCGACCUGAGAGGGUGACCGGCCACAAUGGGACUGAGACACGGCCCAGACUCCUACGGGAGGCAGCAGUGGGGAAUAUUGCACAAUGGGCGAAAGCCUGAUGCAGCGACGCCGCGUGAGGGAUGACGGCCUUCGGGUUGUAAACCUCUUUCAGCAGGGACGAAGCGCAAGUGACGGUACCUGCAGAAGAAGCACCGGCUAACUACGUG
RNAcentral lists this ribosomal RNA (462 nucleotides) under uncultured bacterium. Its description in RNAcentral is "partial 16S ribosomal RNA". It matches the Rfam family "Bacterial small subunit ribosomal RNA", at positions 28 to 507 of the family's 1533-position model. The record is from RNAcentral.